RNAcentral lists this unclassified non-coding RNA (324 nucleotides) under Hevea brasiliensis (rubber tree). Lineage: Eukaryota; Viridiplantae; Streptophyta; Magnoliopsida; Malpighiales; Euphorbiaceae. The record is from RNAcentral.
CACAAAUAAGGAAAAGAGAAAAAGCUGAUGCAAAUUGCAGAUCCAAGAAAAAUGGCAGACCGAAAGAGUUAGAUCCAACAGCAAAAUUGAUUUCAGAGAUCUUGCAGCAGCACCACCUACCGAGCAAUGAAGAAGCAAGCUACAUCAUCGUCAUCAUCAACAACCAAGCCCGCAAACACUGUUUUGCCAUAUCAAACCUCAAGACUCCGGGACCACUACCUGAUAGGCAAGAAACUGGGCCAAGGCCAAUUUGGCACUACAUAUCAAUGUACCAAUAAGGCCACAAACAAGCAAUAUGCUUGCAAAUCAAUCCCAAAGAGAAAG